UCUAAAUUUUCUUGGAGGAGGCAGCGCCUGUAGGAGAUUUCGUUGUGGCGAUUUCUGACAAGGUAAGGUCUUCACCUCUCUCUUCCAACUCCGACGAGUCUCUCGACACUCGGCCGGCGGUGACUGGCACUGGCUGACUAUGAGAACCUGCGGCUGGCCCUGGUGAGGGGGAGUGUGAAGCACAAGAGGGAUUGCUCCUGGCGAGGGACAUCCGGUGAUGAUGUUGAGCGGAAGGCAUCAGUUAUGGUAUCAUCGCUAAAAUCAUCGUUGAAGGAAGUGUGUAGCCUAGAAGACUUGAUGGAGAGAAUAGCUCUAUAUGAGUAGAAAAGUUGCAAGGAGGCCCUCAUUAUGAUGAAUCAAGGUUGCAAGAAAUUAAUGGUUCCUCCAAACACAAGAAAAAAGAAGUUGUAGAUGGUGGUGAUGAAUCUUCUUGAUUGGUCAGACGCAAUGAAAAUUAAUAUCGGAGGGAAAAAGAUAUUGGAAGAAAAUGGAGAAGAUUUAGUGAUGUUUGGAUAUUUUUUAUGAAUGGAUGGUUUAAAACUUCUUAUGUUGUUUGGAUUGUAUCAAUAUUUUGUGAUGUUUGGAUUUGAUGUAUGAAUUGUGAUUUGAUUUAACAUAUAGUUUUAUUUUGUUA
This is a long non-coding RNA of Zingiber officinale, 634 nucleotides long. RefSeq lists it as uncharacterized. The record is from RefSeq and is a predicted model, not a curated record. NCBI's taxonomy places the organism in Eukaryota, Viridiplantae, Streptophyta, Magnoliopsida, Zingiberales, Zingiberaceae. The transcript is spliced from 4 exons.